CACAAGGUGUAAACAGUCACUUAAAUUCAGGUUCCUCCUCACCCUGAAAAUAUUUUCAGGGAGUCGUGAAUCUCAUCUGCAAGAACAUGAGUCACCUGUGGUUCUUCCUCUUUCUGGUGGCCGCUCCUACAUGUGUCCUGUCCCAGGUGCAACUGAAGGAGUCAGGACCUGGCCUGGUGAAGCCCUCGCAGACCCUGUCCCUCACCUGCACUGUCUCUGGAUUCUCUUUGAGCAGUUACGGUGUAGGCUGGGUCUGCCAGGCUCCAGGAAAAGGGCUGGAAUAUGUUGGUGUUAUAGCUAGUAGUGGAAGUGCAAACUACAACCCAGCCCUGAAGUCCCGAGCCAGCAUCACCAAGGACACCUCAAAGAGCCAAGUUUAUCUGACGCUGAACAGCCUGACAGGCGAGGACACGGCCGUCUAUUACUGUGCGAACUAUUUUGGCUACUGGGGCCAGGGCACCCUGGUCACCGUCUCCUCAGAGAGUACGAUGACCCCAGAUCUCUUCCCCCUCGUCUCCUGUGGGCCCUCUCUUGAUGAGAGCCUGGUGGCUGUGGGCUGCCUAGCCCGGGACUUCCUACCCAACGUCAUCACCUUCUCCUGGAACUACCAGAACAACACUGUAGUCAGAUCCCAGGACAUCAAGAACUUCCCGUCGGUCCUGAGAGAGGGCAAGUACACGGCCAGCUCCCAGGUGCUCCUGCCCUCCGGGGACGUCCCCCUGGUAUGCACUGUCAACCACUCCAACGGCAACAAGAAAGUGGAAGUGAGGCCCCAAGUACUCAUCCAAGACGAGUCCCCAAAUGUGACCGUCUUCAUCCCGCCACGCGAUGCCUUCACCGGCCCUGGCCAGCGCACAUCCAGGCUCGUCUGCCAGGCCACGGGCUUCAGCCCCAAGGAGAUCUCUGUGUCCUGGCUGCGUGAUGGAAAACCCGUGGAGUCAGGCUUCACCACGGAAGAGGUGCAGCCCCAGAACAAAGAGUCCUGGCCGGUGACCUACAAAGUCACCAGCAUGCUGACCAUCACCGAGAGCGACUGGCUCAACCAGAAGGUGUUCACUUGCCAUGUGGAACACCAACAGGGGGUCUUCCAGAAGAACGUGUCGUCCAUGUGCAGCCCCAAUUCACCUGUCCCCAUCAAAAUCUUCGCCAUCCCUCCCUCCUUUGCUGGCAUCUUCCUCACCAAGUCGGCCAAGCUGUCCUGCCAAGUCACAAACCUGGGCACCUAUGACAGCCUGAGUAUCUCCUGGACCCGCCAGAAUGGUGAGAUUCUGAAAACCCACACCAACAUCUCUGAGAGCCACCCCAACGGCACCUUCAGCGCCCUGGGCGAGGCCACCAUCUGCGUGGAAGACUGGGAGUCGGGCGACGACUACAUAUGCACAGUGACCCACACAGACCUGCCCUUCCCGCUGAAGCAGGCCAUCUCCAGGCCCGACGCAGUUGCCAAGCACCCGCCCUCCGUCUACGUGCUGCCACCCACCCGGGAGCAGCUGAGCCUGCGGGAGUCGGCCUCAGUCACCUGCCUGGUGAAGGGCUUCUCACCCCCGGACGUGUUCGUGCAGUGGCUGCAGAAGGGGCAGCCCCUGUCCUCCGACAAGUAUGUGACCAGCGCCCCGAUGCCUGAACCCCAGGCCCCAGGCUUGUACUUCGUCCACAGCAUCUUGACCGUGAGCGAGGAGGACUGGAGCUCUGGGGAGACAUACACCUGCGUCGUGGGCCAUGAGGCCCUGCCCCACGUGGUGACCGAGAGGACCGUGGACAAGUCCACUGAGGGGGAGGUCAGCGCCGAGGAGGAGGGCUUCGAGAACCUGUCGGCCAUGGCCUCUACCUUCAUCGUCCUCUUCCUCCUGAGCCUCUUCUACAGCACCACGGUCACCCUGUUCAAGGUGAAAUGACCCACCAACAAAGGACAUGAGAGACCAGAGACGGACCCAGGAGGGCUGCCAUCGUCGGGCCUGGGGUCCCCGGCCUGUGUGGCCUGUCGACUUGCCCUUAAAUCUCCCCACGUCGCCCUCCAGCUUCCAGCUCUAAGACAUAGGCUUCUCUCUACAGACCGGAGGCCAUGGACAUGUGUGGAGCCGCAGCCGCGGGCUCUGCCCCAGUAUUGCUUUGCAAUGUAUGCACAUGUCGCCUUGAAUAAAUGUGCCUAUUGGGUCUUGUGAAACGG
This is a non-coding RNA of Equus caballus (horse), 2167 nucleotides long. The record is from the annotation of a RefSeq genome assembly. Lineage: Eukaryota; Metazoa; Chordata; Mammalia; Perissodactyla; Equidae.